Molecule: ribosomal RNA, 300 nt
Filed under: Triticum aestivum (bread wheat)
Lineage: Eukaryota; Viridiplantae; Streptophyta; Magnoliopsida; Poales; Poaceae
Description: partial small subunit ribosomal RNA
Source: RNAcentral
AUGUUUAGAAGAAAUCUUCAUCCUCCCCUUACGGGUCAGUGGAACGAUCUGGUGGAGGUGGUUAACUCCUGGCAUUUAUCUGAUGAGGCUGAUCAGAUUAGCUGGACUUUGGGUAAAAAAGGUAAAUUCUCGACCAAAUCGGUUUACGCCUAUUUGGAAAGACCCCUGGCUGGAUGUGAUUAUAGAUGGAUCUGGAAAGCAAAAAUUCCCCUCAAAAUCCAAAUAUUUCUUUGGCAAGUGUUUCAAGACGCGGUUUUGACUAGAGAAGUCAUGAGAAGGCGUAACUGGGCUCUGCAAUAA